This 325-nucleotide ribosomal RNA is filed under the name uncultured Actinomycetes bacterium. Its description in RNAcentral is "bacterial SSU rRNA". It matches the Rfam family "Bacterial small subunit ribosomal RNA", at positions 28 to 350 of the family's 1533-position model. The record is from RNAcentral. Lineage: Bacteria; Bacillati; Actinomycetota; Actinomycetes.
GACGAACGCUGGCGGCGUGCUUAACACAUGCAAGUCGAACGGUGAAGGUGGAGCUUGCUCUGCUGGAUCAGUGGCGAACGGGUGAGUAACACGUGAGCAAUCUGCCCCGAACUCUGGGAUAACCACGGGAAACCGUGGCUAAUACUGGAUAUGUCGAGUGACCGCAUGGUCUGCUCGUGGAAAGAUUUUUCGGUUCGGGAUGAGCUCGCGGCCUAUCAGCUUGUUGGUGAGGUAAUGGCUCACCAAGGCGACGACGGGUAGCCGGCCUGAGAGGGUGACCGGCCACACUGGGACUGAGACACGGCCCAGACUCCUACGGGUGGAG